This 301-nucleotide ribosomal RNA is filed under the name uncultured bacterium. RNAcentral's name for it is "partial 16S ribosomal RNA". It matches the Rfam family "Bacterial small subunit ribosomal RNA", at positions 509 to 809 of the family's 1533-position model. The record is from RNAcentral.
CAGCAGCCGCGGGAAUACGAAGGGGGCUAGCGUUGUUCGGAUUUACUGGGCGUAAAGCGCACGUAGGCGGAUCGAUCAGUCAGGGGUGAAAUCCCAGAGCUCAACUCUGGAACUGCCUUUGAUACUGUCGAUCUGGAGUAUGGAAGAGGUGAGUGGAAUUCCGAGUGUAGAGGUGAAAUUCGUAGAUAUUCGGAGGAACACCAGUGGCGAAGGCGGCUCACUGGUCCAUUACUGACGCUGAGGUGCGAAAGCGUGGGGAGCAAACAGGAUUAGAUACCCCCGUAGUCCCUGUCUCUUAUAA